GACGAACGCUGGCGGCGUGCUUAACACAUGCAAGUCGAACGGAAAGGCCCUGCUUUUGUGGGGUGCUCGAGUGGCGAACGGGUGAGUAACACGUGAGUAACCUGCCCUUGACUUUGGGAUAACUUCAGGAAACUGGGGCUAAUACCGGAUAGGAGCUCCUGCUGCAUGGUGGGGGUUGGAAAGUUUCGGCGGUUGGGGAUGGACUCGCGGCUUAUCAGCUUGUUGGUGGGGUAGUGGCUUACCAAGGCUUUGACGGGUAGCCGGCCUGAGAGGGUGACCGGCCACAUUGGGACUGAGAUACGGCGCAGACUCCUACGGGAGGCAGCAGUGGGGAAUAUUGCACAAUGGGCGGAAGCCUGAUGCGGCAACGCCGCGUGCGGGAUGACGGCCUUCGGGUUGUAAACCGCUUUCGCCUGUGACGAAGCGUGAGUGACGGUAAUGGGUAAAGAAGCACCGGCUAACUACGUG
Molecule: ribosomal RNA, 468 nt
Filed under: uncultured bacterium
Lineage: Bacteria
Description: partial 16S ribosomal RNA
Rfam family: Bacterial small subunit ribosomal RNA
Source: RNAcentral